RNAcentral lists this ribosomal RNA (476 nucleotides) under uncultured organism. Its description in RNAcentral is "partial 16S ribosomal RNA". It matches the Rfam family "Bacterial small subunit ribosomal RNA", at positions 329 to 797 of the family's 1533-position model. The record is from RNAcentral.
ACGUACACUCCUGCGGGAGGCAGCAGUGGGGAAUUUUGGACAAUGGGCGCAAGCCUGAUCCAGCCAUGCCGCGUGCGGGAAGAAGGCCUUCGGGUUGUAAACCGCUUUUGUCAGGGAAGAAAAGGUUCUGGCUAAUACCUGGGACUCAUGACGGUACCUGAAGAAUAAGCACCGGCUAACUACGUGCCAGCAGCCGCGGUAAUACGUAGGGUGCAAGCGUUAAUCGGAAUUACUGGGCGUAAAGCGUGCGCAGGCGGUUAUGCAAGACAGAGGUGAAAUCCCCGGGCUCAACCUGGGAACUGCCUUUGUGACUGCAUGGCUAGAGUACGGUAGAGGGGGAUGGAAUUCCGCGUGUAGCAGUGAAAUGCGUAGAUAUGCGGAGGAACACCGAUGGCGAAGGCAAUCCCCUGGACCUGUACUGACGCUCAUGCACGAAAGCGUGGGGAGCAAACAGGAUUAGAUACCCCGGUAGUCCC